Molecule: unclassified non-coding RNA, 2002 nt
Filed under: Megachile rotundata (alfalfa leafcutting bee)
Lineage: Eukaryota; Metazoa; Arthropoda; Insecta; Hymenoptera; Megachilidae
Description: protein NDRG3, transcript variant X3
Source: RNAcentral
UGACCAGUCCGUGGUCUGAGUCGUGUAUUCGGGCCAAUAGUAAUCGUGCGGUGCCUUUGAGAACACGGUACGGUCUCUCUCGUCAGUCUGGUUGUGGUGCGUUUUCACACGUCACGUCGGGACAGAGAAGGGCAUACGAGGAAGGGAACAUAAUCGAAAGAGCAGGAAUCGUAGCGUCGUUGUUCCAACGAUUUGAAAAGAUCAAAAGAAAGUCGUGAUCUGUCCGGCGAAGACCGCGAAAGGUCCGGAGACAGGGAUUCCCUAAACGCUCUUUACACUCGCCUAACCGCGUCUCUGUUUCCGUACGACCGUGUUCGACAACCGCGGAGAAGCUGCAACUCUUUUUCGGUACCAGGAUUCCGCAGCAGGAGUCGCGCAAGACGAGCAACAGCAACCAAGAGGCCAGUAAAGGAGAGGACGCGUUUGGGCGAAGAAACGCGUCAGAGGUAGAUCCACCGCAACGGUGGACGGGAUUCUCGACGAAGACGACGUCCUAGUUGGUCGUCUGACCGGGUAGGCUUUCAUCGUGGGCGAACAACAGCCUGCAAAAAGUUCGCCAUGCCGGCAGGUAUUGGCGCUUCGUACAGGUCGUUAGGCGACCUGGGCGAAAAUGUGUACAAAAGCACGACGAUCGUCGACCAAACGCAGACCACCGGACAGAGCGUCCUCGAGAGCGUCAAGAAGGCUUUCAGUUUCGCGUCGCCCAAGGUCGAGCUCAGGAAAAAGGACCCGCUGAUCGAGGACCGCCGUGAGAGCGUCUCGAUCGUCUCAAGGGAAAGAAACAGGAUGCCGACCGCCGCCACAGCCGAGGAAUCAGCACUUCUGGGCACGAUGCCUUCAGAUAGCAUGGAUGACAUCGAAUUGAAAAAUAUUCAGCUUCAAUUCCCGGCGCUAAGAUACUUGUCCAAAGACGACAGUUCUGUUCGAGAGGAAAGGGUGGAAACUGACAGAGGAAGUUUACUGGUGGCUGUGCAAGGAAAUCGAGCGAAACCUGCCAUUCUCACUUAUCACGACUUAGGCCUUAACUAUAUAUCGAGCUUCCAAGCAUUCUUCAAUUACAUCGACAUGAGAGUUUUACUCGAAAACUUCUGCGUCUAUCACGUGAACGCACCAGGUCAAGAAGAAGGUGCUCCAACAUUACCUGAGGACUAUAUUUAUCCGUCCAUGGACGAGCUGGCUGAACAGCUGCUCUUCGUUUUGGGUCAUUUUGGCCUGAAAUCCGUAAUUGGUUUCGGUGUCGGUGCUGGAGGCAAUAUACUGGCAAGAUUUGCACUUGCCCAUCCUGAGAAGGUCAAUGCCCUGUGCUUGAUAAACUGCGUAUCGACACAAGCAGGUUGGAUCGAGUGGGGUUAUCAGAAGCUGAACGUUCGCCACCUGAGAUCUCAAGGCAUGACUCAAGGUGUUCUCGACUACCUUAUGUGGCAUCAUUUUGGCAGGGGCACGGAGGAGAGGAAUCACGAUCUCGUGCAGGUUUACAAGAAUUAUUUCGAGCGUCGUGUGAAUCCAACGAACCUGGCGUUAUUCAUCGACAGUUAUGUUCGUCGUACAGAUCUGAACAUCACGAGGGAAUUAGAUCCGACACGUAAGAAGGAAGGUCUUACGCUCGGUGUACCUGUCAUGAAUAUCACAGGUGCUUUGAGCCCGCACGUCGACGACACUGUGACGUUAAAUGGACGAUUAGACCCAACGAACAGCUCUUGGAUGAAGAUUUCUGAUUGCGGAAUGGUACUGGAGGAACAGCCGGGCAAAGUAAGCGAGGCCUUCCGACUAUUUCUGCAGGGCGAAGGAUAUGUGGUGAGAUCCCCGCGGAAGCCCGUGACGCCGACAACACCCGAAGGUAAUUGUAAUUAGGAAUUGAAGGCCGCAAGGAGUCAAGCGCGCAGUUGGUCAGUUAGGCCACGUCUAUAUGUUAAUGGCACCACUAUCACCACUGAAAAUGGCUGACUACAGACAGGCUUCCCUCGAGGGAUUAAAUCACGUUUGCAGUAAGAAAAUCGACUGG